This 1400-nucleotide ribosomal RNA is filed under the name uncultured archaeon. RNAcentral's name for it is "bacterial SSU rRNA". It matches the Rfam family "Archaeal small subunit ribosomal RNA". The record is from RNAcentral.
AUUCCGGUUGAUCCUGCCAGANGCACUGCUGUUGGGGUCCGACUAAGCCAUGCGAGUCGAUGGGCCUCGUGCCAUGGCGGACGGCUCAGUAACACGUGGCUAACCUACCCUCGGGUGGGGGAUAACCUCGGGAAACUGAGGAUAAUCCCCCAUAGGRAAARRUGUCUGGAAURAUCCUUCCCCGAAAGAAUAAUGCGCCCGAGGAUGGGGCUGCGGCCGAUUAGGUAGUUGGUGGGGUAACGGCCCACAAGCCUACGAUCGGUACGGGCCCUGAAAAAGGGACCCCGGAAAUGGGGACUGAAACACGGCCCCAGGCCCUACGGGGCGCAGCAGGCGCGAAACCUCCGCAAUGCCCGAAAAGACCGGGGGGGGACCCAAAGUGCCCACCGCACUGCGGUUUUUUUUCCCGGAGUGUAAAAAGCUCCGGGAAUAAGGGCUGGGCAAGUCCGGUGGCAGCAGCCGCGGUAAUACCGGCAGCCCGAGUGGUGGCCACUUUUAUUGGGCCUAAAGCGUCCGUAGCCGGCCCAGUAAGUCCCUGCUUAAAUCCUACGGCUUAACCGUAGAACUGGCAGGGAUACUGCUGGGCUUGGGACCGGGAGAGGGCGGGGGUACUCCGGGGGUAGCGGUGAAAUGUGUUGAUCCCCGGAGACCACCUAUGGCGAAGGCACCCGCCUGGAACGGGUCCGACGGUGAGGGACGAAAGCCGGGGGAGCGAACCGGAUUAGAUACCCGGGUAGUCCCGGCCGUAAACGCUGCGGACUACGUGUCGGUAGGCCUCGUGCCUACCGGUGCCGAAGGGAAGCCGUUAAGUCCGCCGCCUGGGAGUACGGUCGCAAGACUGAAACUUAAAGGAAUUUGCGGGGGAGCACUACAACGGGUGGAGCCUGCGGUUUAAUUGGAUUCAACGCCGGGCAUCUUACCAGGGGCGACGGCAGGAUGAAGGCCAGGUUGACGACCUUGCCAGACGAGCCGAGAGGUGGUGCAUGGCCGUCGUCAGCUCGUACCGUGAGGCGUCCUGUUAAGUCAGGUAACGAGCGAGACCCGCGCCCCAUGUUGCCAUUNCCUCUCCGGGGGAGGGGCACUCAUGGGGGACCCUGGCGCUAAGCCAGAGGAAGGAGCGGGCAACGACAGGUCCGCAUGCCCCGAAUCCCCUGGGCUACACGCGGGCUACAAUGGCUGGGACAAUGGGACGCGACCCCGAAAGGGGGAGCGAAUCCCCUAAACCCAGCCGUAGUUCGGAUCGUGGGCUGUAACUCGCCCACGUGAAGCUGGAAUCCGUAGUAAUCGCGCCUCAUCAUGGCGCGGUGAAUGCGUCCCUGCUCCUUGCACACACCGCCCGUCACGCCACCCGAGUUGGGUCUAUGGUGAGGCCCUGGCCACUGGCUGGGGUCGAACCUAGG